CCACUGCAGAACAAGGAUGCAAAGUGCAAGAUGCAACACCUUUUAAAAAAUCUGCUGUGAAAAGGAGAGGAAAAGAUGCCACUGAUAACCAACUUGUGGAAAAUAGAGUAAGAGCGUGGGAAUUACGUCAGCUAAAAAACAUUGAAGAAGCAACUACCCAUGAAUUUACGAUUGAAGAUAUUUGAACUUGCAAGCUCCAUACCUAUUACCUGCAACUUCUACAAAUGAUAGGUGGGAGGGGCAGCGUAACAAGACGAUGACAUGUGAGGACAAGUAAGAUUCACGCAUCCUGAUCCUGCAUGACAUUAUAGCCUGUGCAUGCGGAUAAAUGAUGACCCGCCGAGUGUCUACCCACAAUGCACUUCACUUGCAGAAUCAUCAACGGCUGUGACAGUUAAUGCAAAUCCAUUGGGCUGCUUGCAAAAUAACCUCUCUUGGCAAAAAUAUCUUUAUCUAUAGAGUAAUCACAAAUGAUGCAAUGGGGAAUGUUUUUGCUGUAAGCACGGGGAAAGAGCAAGAGGCACCGACAACAGGACAACCUUUGGUGGAUUACUAAUUAAUGGCCUUGUUUGGCAUACUUUAA
This is a long non-coding RNA of Lacerta agilis (Sand lizard), 583 nucleotides long. RefSeq lists it as uncharacterized. The transcript is spliced from 2 exons. Lineage: Eukaryota; Metazoa; Chordata; Lepidosauria; Squamata; Lacertidae. The record is from RefSeq and is a predicted model, not a curated record.